Molecule: ribosomal RNA, 465 nt
Filed under: uncultured bacterium
Lineage: Bacteria
Description: partial 16S ribosomal RNA
Rfam family: Bacterial small subunit ribosomal RNA
Source: RNAcentral
CCUUCGGGUGGCAGCAGUAGGGAAUUUUCGUCAAUGGGCGCAAGCCUGAACGAGCGAUGCCGCGUGAGUGAAGAAGGCCUUCGGGUCGUAAAGCUCUGUUGCGGGGGAAAAAAGGCAACUACAGGAAAUGGUAGAUGACAGAUGGUGCCCCGCCAGAAAGUCACGGCUAACUACGUGCCAGCAGCCGCGGUAAUACGUAGGUGGCGAGCGUUAUCCGGAAUGAUUGGGCGGAAAGGGUGCGCAGGCGGUCCUGCAAGUCUGGAGUGAAACGUAUGAGCUCAACUCAUGCAUGGCUCUGGAAACUGGAGGACUGGAGAGCAGGAGAGGGCGGUGGAACUCCAUGUGUAGCGGUAAAAUGCGUAGAUAUAUGGAAGAACACCAGUGGCGAAGGCGGCCGCCUGGCCUGUUGCUGACGCUGAGGCACGAAAGCGUGGGGAGCAAAUAGGAUUAGAUACCCUUGUAGUC